GAGUGCUUGCACUCAAUUGGAAAGAGGAGUGGCGGACGGGUGAGUAACACGUGGGUAACCUACCCAUCAGAGGGGGAUAACACUUGGAAACAGGUGCUAAUACCGCAUAACAGUUUAUGCCGCAUGGCAUAAGAGUGAAAGGCGCUUUCGGGUGUCGCUGAUGGAUGGACCCGCGGUGCAUUAGCUAGUUGGUGAGGUAACGGCUCACCAAGGCCACGAUGCAUAGCCGACCUGAGAGGGUGAUCGGCCACACUGGGACUGAGACACGGCCCAGACUCCUACGGGAGGCAGCAGUAGGGAAUCUUCGGCAAUGGACGAAAGUCUGACCGAGCAACGCCGCGUGAGUGAAGAAGGUUUUCGGAUCGUAAAACUCUGUUGUUAGAGAAGAACAAGGACGUUAGUAACUGAACGUCCCCUGACGGUAUCUAACCAGAAAGCCACGGCUAACUACGUGCCAGCAGCCGCGGUAAUACGUAGGUGGCAAGCGUUGUCCGGAUUUAUUGGGCGUAAAGCGAGCGCAGGCGGUUUCUU
RNAcentral lists this ribosomal RNA (531 nucleotides) under uncultured Enterococcus sp. RNAcentral describes it as "bacterial SSU rRNA". It matches the Rfam family "Bacterial small subunit ribosomal RNA", at positions 64 to 584 of the family's 1533-position model. Lineage: Bacteria; Bacillati; Bacillota; Bacilli; Lactobacillales; Enterococcaceae. The record is from RNAcentral.